RNAcentral lists this microRNA precursor (166 nucleotides) under Marmota monax (woodchuck). Lineage: Eukaryota; Metazoa; Chordata; Mammalia; Rodentia; Sciuridae. The record is from RNAcentral.
AGAAGAAAGACAGAGGAGGUAAGAAAGGGCUCUCUGGGAUGGGCACCAUAAAAGCUAGAAGUCCAAUACCUAUGUAUUGGCAAGCACGUGCUCUCUCUUUAGGCCCUCUAGCUUUUAUGGUGCCCAUCCCAGAGAGCCCUUUCUUACCUCCUCUGUCCUUCUUCAU